CAGACUCUGUCUAAAAAGAAAAGAAAGUCUUGCUGGUUUUGAAGAUGUGAGCGACCUCUAGAAGCUGAGAACAACCCCGGGCCGGCAGCCAGCAAGCGGAGACCUCAUACAACCAUGUGAUGAAUGUCAACAACCUGAAGGAGCCUGUAGCCCGGGUCUCCCCUAGGGCCCCUGCUAAGAGCUGAGGCAGCUGACACCCUGAUUUCAGCCCUGAGACCUGCAGCAGAGAAGCCAGUCAAACCCACCUGCACUUCUAAUGCACAGAACCGUCUUUCUCGGCUUUGGAGCCAAGAAGUCACCUUGCCAGGAACAGCCUCCAACCAAUGACUGCAAGACGCCUUGGACCAGGCUGCUCUGGAGGUCAGCCGCCCCCGAGGCUGAAGAGCCGGCGGCUCGGAGAAGGC
Molecule: long non-coding RNA, 404 nt
Organism: Homo sapiens (human)
Lineage: Eukaryota; Metazoa; Chordata; Mammalia; Primates; Hominidae
Exons: 3
Source: RefSeq, a predicted model, not a curated record